GACGAACGCUGGCGGCGCGCCUAACACAUGCAAGUCGAACGGAGUUUGAGAGAGCUUGCUUUUUCAAACUUAGUGGCGAACGGGUGAGUAACGCGUGAGGAACCUGCCUUUCAGAGGGGGACAACAGCUGGAAACGGCUGCUAAUACCGCAUGACGCAUGACUGGGGCAUCCCGGACAUGCCAAAGAUUUUAUCGCUGAAAGAUGGCCUCGCGUCUGAUUAGCUGGUUGGUGAGGUAACGGCCCACCAAGGCGACGAUCAGUAGCCGGACUGAGAGGUUGACCGGCCACAUUGGGACUGAGAUACGGCCCAG
RNAcentral lists this ribosomal RNA (312 nucleotides) under uncultured bacterium. Its description in RNAcentral is "bacterial SSU rRNA". It matches the Rfam family "Bacterial small subunit ribosomal RNA", at positions 28 to 334 of the family's 1533-position model. The record is from RNAcentral.